GCAGGCGUUUAAUGCUGAACACGGAUUACAGUUGCUUGCUGAAAGUCUGAUGGACAAACUCCACUCCUCCCUUCCUGUCUGUAACCAUGUGUCUGACUAUGAUGAGCAUGGCAGCAUGUGCACUGUUGUCAUGGCUGGCGGACAGGUUCUUCUGGACUAGAGGAGGAGAAGAUGAAAGAGGACAAGGAGGAGGACAUCUGGACAGAAUGGCGAGUGAGAGAGGAAGUCAUUAUGCAACGAGGACGCAUGGUGUGUGGUCACUUUAAUCUGGAGGGGGAUGACGUCUGACCGUGUGUGUAGCAGAGACCUCUGUGCUCUUAAAUACUCCAAGUGUCUCUGUAUCUCACAUUCAUUACCUCUAAUUAAUUUCGCAUCUCUGUGAACUGACAUGCAGCUUUGAUUCCUGAUAUACAUGACAUGAUGCUGUGACCUUCACUCCUCACCUCACCCUUAUACUCCGCAAGGUCGUUUCCAAGGAUACCCUACUCUUACUGUUUGGCCUUCUGACUGGCUAUCUACAUCUUAAAACAAAAGUGGCCCAGUAAGCAUAUGACUUUAUGAAUCGAGCACUGUAACCUCACGCUCCCGCAGCAUCACGACAGACUUUAGAGUCAGUAGUCAUGCCAUCACAGCAUCAGAGCUGUGCAGUUACUUAAGAUGCGCCCUGGUAAAAAAAAAAAAAAAAGAAGCCCAUCGCACCUGGGAGAGAAUGUUCUGUUCUCUAUCAAGCAGCACAAACCAUGUUCAUAUGAUUAAUUGGCUCAGAAUACAGCUGCUGCACUCAGAUAUACUCACACUUUCUUCCUGUUGUCAGUUUACAUUGAGGAAACUUAUUUGGGAUUCACUGUAAGUGACACUCUCUGACAGUGUCACUCAGAGUUUUGACCUAGUUUAGACUCAAAUGUGAGUGAUUAGAUUAAGUAACAUUCCUGAUCUAAACAUUAUGUGCUCUGUGUGUGUGUGUGUGUGUAGAGAGAGAGAGAAAGUCCACUGUAUAUAUCCAAAUAAUGUUUUAUGGUAAUAUAGGCUGCAUUUAUUUGAUUACAGUAUCACAGUAAAAAGUGAACAUACAUAGAAAUAUAAUUUAUUCCUGUGAUGGAAAGGCUGAAUUUUCAGCACCAUUACUCCAGUCUUCAUUGCCAC
Molecule: long non-coding RNA, 1143 nt
Filed under: Sinocyclocheilus grahami
Lineage: Eukaryota; Metazoa; Chordata; Actinopteri; Cypriniformes; Cyprinidae
Description: lncRNA (ENSSGRG00000023737.1)
Source: RNAcentral